AGCGCUGUGAUUGGUCGGCACGGUGACAGAGGGGCGGGGAUGUGAGAUUACAGCAUCUCUCCGUCUCUCGGUGCUGAUACAGCGGACAUCUGGAGCUGCCCUGCCCGGGAAUCAAAGCCCCGAACGCCGCCGAGACAGCCCGAGUUCGCUCUCUGUUUCGCGGGGAAAACGCCCGAGCGUGCUCCGUUGUUGUUGUUUUCGCGCCUUUCGGGCUGGAUCUAACGUCUCGAGACUGCAACGGACGGACCCUUUCUGCCGGUAAAAACACAGAAACUACGGAUAAAUCCCGGGAGAACGGUGAUGGACUGAAGUGAUCCGGUAUCUGAGAGGGUUUUGGGCCCGAUGGAAGCUGCGACACACCAAGACCUGGAGCGUCUGGGUCCCGGUUCCGGCUUCAGUCUGGACUAAAGACUCGGUUCGUCCCCGAGGGAUUCAAACAGUCACUUCUUUUCUCCGGUAAACGGGCCCAAACCGGCGGAUCAGGACCGUUCUGGGGGUAUUUUAACAACUAUAUUUGCAUAUUUUAUUAAUAUUUAGUUGAGAUAUUUGGAUAUGCAGCGUUUUCGUGGAUUAACACCCAGCGGGAUCAUGUGUCCCCCCUCCUCUGCUCCUCUAAUCCGGGUUUAAAUCUGAGAUCUGAUCUGGAUUACUCUGCUCCUCCGUUACAUCUGUCCCGGGCUGAACCGGUCCCGGUCCCGAUCCCUGGGGGAUCUCGGAUCCGGUCCUGGUUUUACGGAGUUCUGCUGUCAGAUAUUAUCUAGGACUCGGUAUCGGUUGCUCUCGGUCCUGGUUUCGGGGAGUUCUGCUGUCGCCAUGCCGACGUCCCGGCCUGGUUCGGAGCCAGUGGAGUUCUGGGUGGACGGGUCGAGGCGGGACGGGGCGGUGGAGGAGUUCUACACCCUGAGUACCGAGCUGGGACGAGGAGCCACGUCCAUCGUGUAUCGCUGCGAGGAGAAACAGACUCAGAAACCCUACGCCAUCAAAGUCCUCAAGAAAACGAUCGACAAGAAAAUAGUUCGGUGACAGAAUCGUGUGUCCUG
Molecule: long non-coding RNA, 1040 nt
Organism: Perca fluviatilis (European perch)
Lineage: Eukaryota; Metazoa; Chordata; Actinopteri; Perciformes; Percidae
Exons: 4
Source: RefSeq, a predicted model, not a curated record